This is a small nuclear RNA of Bombina bombina (fire-bellied toad), 114 nucleotides long. RefSeq annotates it as U5 spliceosomal RNA. The transcript has a single exon. NCBI's taxonomy places the organism in Eukaryota, Metazoa, Chordata, Amphibia, Anura, Bombinatoridae. The record is from RefSeq and is a predicted model, not a curated record.
AUACUAUGGUUUCUCUUCAGAUUGUAUAAAGCUUUCGCCUUUACUAAAGUUUUCUGUGGAGAGGCUCAUCCAUGAGUUUUCACUAUUUUUUGAGGCUCUCCCCCUUGCAGGGCU